This 450-nucleotide ribosomal RNA is filed under the name uncultured bacterium. RNAcentral describes it as "partial 16S ribosomal RNA". It matches the Rfam family "Bacterial small subunit ribosomal RNA", at positions 328 to 797 of the family's 1533-position model. The record is from RNAcentral.
UGGCCAGACUCCUACGGGAGGCAGCAGUGGGGAAUAUUGCACAAUGGGGGGAACCCUGAUGCAGCGACGCCGCGUGGGUGAAGGAGCACCUCGGUGCGUAAAGCCCUAUCGGCAGGGAAGAAACAGACGGUACCUGACUAAGAAGCCCCGGCUAACUACGUGCCAGCAGCCGCGGUAAUACGUAGGGGGCAAGCGUUAUCCGGAUUCACUGGGGGUAAGGGGAGCGUAGACGGCGACGCAAGUCUGGAGUGAAAGCCCGGGGCCCAACCCCGGGACUGCUCUGGAAACUGCGGCGCUGGAGUACGGGAGGGGCAGGCGGAAUUCCUGGUGUAGCGGUGAAAUGCGUAGAUAUCAGGAGGAACACCGGCGGCGAAGGCGGCCUGCUGGACCGUGACUGACGUUGAGGCUCGAGAGCGUGGGGAGCAAACAGGAUUAGAUACCAGCGUAUCA